CUCAACAAAUCUUGGCUUGAAUCUACUCCUAACUACCUUGCUUUGUGUUUCUCUCUCUAGAAAAGCCCUAGUCUCUCUCUAAAACCAGAAAAAUAUGAAUAAAAAUGUAAUAGCAUGAAUGGAAAGAGAAGAGAAAACUAUUUAUAAGGGUUGACUGCGUGCCAGUUCGCUUAAGCGAAGAAGAGUUCGCUUAAGCGAACAUCCAGGAAAUCUCCAGUUGACCAUUGAGGUGCUGCCACGUGGUCCUUAUCUUCUGAAGUUGGAUAAACUUCGCUUAAGCGACUCACAAGCGAACAUGUGAGCGAACUUUCCUGGAGCUCACUGGAACUUGGUCGCUUAAGCGAACCAUAGGUCGCUUAAGCGAACUGACCUUUCUUCAUGAGCGAACUGGAAGCGUGCCUGUAAGCGAACAAAAC
Molecule: long non-coding RNA, 416 nt
Filed under: Medicago truncatula (barrel medic)
Lineage: Eukaryota; Viridiplantae; Streptophyta; Magnoliopsida; Fabales; Fabaceae
Description: long non-coding RNA (MTRU_LNC002956)
Source: RNAcentral